RNAcentral lists this ribosomal RNA (448 nucleotides) under uncultured organism. Its description in RNAcentral is "partial 16S ribosomal RNA". It matches the Rfam family "Bacterial small subunit ribosomal RNA", at positions 332 to 797 of the family's 1533-position model. The record is from RNAcentral.
UACACUCCUACGGGAGGCAGCAGUGGGGAAUAUUGGACAAUGGGCGAAAGCCUGAUCCAGCAAUGCCGCGUGAGUGAUGAAGGCCUUAGGGUUGUAAAGCUCUUUUACCCGGGAUGAUAAUGACAGUACCGGGAGAAUAAGCCCCGGCUAACUCCGUGCCAGCAGCCGCGGUAAUACGGAGGGGGCUAGCGUUGUUCGGAAUUACUGGGCGUAAAGCGCGCGUAGGCGGCUUUGUAAGUUAGAGGUGAAAGCCCGGAGCUCAACUUCGGAAUUGCCUUUAAGACUGCAUCGCUAGAAUCGUGGAGAGGUGAGUGGAAUUCCGAGUGUAGAGGUGAAAUUCGUAGAUAUUCGGAAGAACACCAGUGGCGAAGGCGACUCACUGGACACGUAUUGACGCUGAGGUGCGAAAGCGUGGGGAGCAAACAGGAUUAGAAACCCUAGUAGUCCC